UGAGGUUGCAAUGAUGAUUCACAGCUCCCUCUUCUGAGUUAAAGUUGAGGAAAUCGGCUGGCAGAAUCGAACCUAUGACUUAUUGGCCAUCACUGAGCAA
This 100-nucleotide small nucleolar RNA is filed under the name Manihot esculenta (cassava). Its description in RNAcentral is "Small nucleolar RNA R30/Z108". It matches the Rfam family "Small nucleolar RNA R30/Z108". Rfam says of the family: snoR30 is a C/D box small nucleolar RNA which acts as a methylation guide for 18S ribosomal RNA in plants. Lineage: Eukaryota; Viridiplantae; Streptophyta; Magnoliopsida; Malpighiales; Euphorbiaceae. The record is from Rfam by way of RNAcentral.